This is a long non-coding RNA of Salmo salar (Atlantic salmon), 794 nucleotides long. RefSeq lists it as uncharacterized. Lineage: Eukaryota; Metazoa; Chordata; Actinopteri; Salmoniformes; Salmonidae. The record is from RefSeq and is a predicted model, not a curated record.
AAGCCACGCCCAUUUCCUGAAGAAUUGCAUUAUGGGCCCUAAAAGCACGGAAAUAGUGUCCACUGUUUGUAUAAUUUGUAUUUUGGCGAAUUUAGUACGGCAUCCGGAAACUUUUGGCUAACUAUGCUAUGACCAAUAAGCAUACGACAUAUUCAAUUUCUCACAAAUAGUAUGGUUAGUGCAGAUAGUAUGAGUAUUCGAACACAGCUUUGGGAUAUGAUUUUCCAGAACAAUAAGGAAUGACUUCGUGAAAUAUUGAAGGAAAUCCCACCCUGACAUCGUGCAGAUGUAAAGAACUUGUUGUGAACCUUCCAGCCACCAGGAUAAUCAUUAUAUCCAAGGAUAUUAUUCAGGAGAGUGCAACAUCGCAAUGUUAGGUGAAAAUAGAUUCACCCAUGUUGUUGUUUAUCAUGCAGAUUUGUCAGGACAUUGUAAUUUAUGAAGCUCAUUCUAAAAUGCAGAUGUGAUUUCUGUGCCAGGGUGUUCGCGCUGUGUGCAAGUCUUCAAUUUAGACCACAAUUAGUUGAAUUAGUUGUUAGCGAAGGGCUGGAACAAAACCUGUAAACUCCUGUCCUGUGUAUAAAAAAAAACAACCUGUGGCUGUCAUGACUAAACUUGCCCUCAUGUACUGAACAAGUUUAUGAAUGUUGGAGAUUAAUCUCCUUGAGAUGUCCCUCACUUGGUGGGAAUGACCUAUUUUGUACAAUAUACUGUGUUUUAAGAACUCGUGCACAGAUACAGAACCCCCCCCCUAAAUGUUAACAUAUAUUCCAAAUUAAAAGUGUUGACGUCUC